Molecule: ribosomal RNA, 257 nt
Filed under: uncultured Streptococcus sp.
Lineage: Bacteria; Bacillati; Bacillota; Bacilli; Lactobacillales; Streptococcaceae
Description: partial 16S ribosomal RNA
Rfam family: Bacterial small subunit ribosomal RNA
Source: RNAcentral
ACUACGUGCCAGCAGCCGCGGUAAUACGUAGGUCCGAGCGUUGUCCGGAUUAUUGGCGUAAAGCGAGCGCAGGCGGUUUGAUAAGUCUGAAGUUAAAGGACUGUGGCUCAACCAUAGUUCGCUUUGGAAACUGUCAAACUUGAGUGCAGAAGGGGAGAGUGGGAAUUCCAUGUGUAGCGGUGAAAUGCGUAGAUAUAUGGAGGAACACCGGUGGCGAAAGCGGCUCUCUGGUCUGUAACUGACGCUGAGGCUCGAAA